Molecule: long non-coding RNA, 955 nt
Filed under: Equus caballus (horse)
Lineage: Eukaryota; Metazoa; Chordata; Mammalia; Perissodactyla; Equidae
Description: lncRNA (ENSECAG00000044318.1)
Source: RNAcentral
CCCGUCCUUUGGGAAACCCUCCUCAGGAGCGAGUGGGCUCCUCUGCCAAGCGUGUGCAAUCAUAGAGCCUCUCCUCUUGGCUACCACCACCAGUCUUCCAUCCUCUUCCACCCACACAUGUUCAUUUAAGGAUGGGUGUGUGACCAAGACAGAAGACUUCCCUGGAAUUAUUACAUAAAGAGGGAUAGAUAAGCAUUCUAUUUCCUGUGGGGAAGGUUUGCCCUCACUAGUAGACAAUGAAGCCAAACUGAAGACAGAAACAAAGAUAAGAGAAAGAAGAGGGCAUAUUCUGAUGUUCCCACAAUAGCAAACCAGGAGGUCCCUGGAGCAGCCGGGGUUCCUGCAGCUUCUGGAUUCUAGGAUCUACCCCCAGCAUCCUCUGAAUUUAAACCGUCCAUUGUCUCUGUUUCUCUGUCAUGCUCUGCCCUGGAAGGCUGACAUGAAUACAUCACCAGGCUUCCUUGCCCUGUAGCUUCCUGUUGAGUUGGACCAGUACAAAGCAUUGGCAGAAAAUCAAAAGGAGGGAGAAAGGAAAUAUCAGGACAGAAGGUGGCCAUCUGCCAACCAGGAAGAGACUUCUUACCUGGAACCAAAUCUGCUGGCAUCUUGAUUUUGGACUCCCCAGCCUCCAGAACUUCCUCAGGUGCCUUGACCAGGAUGAUCCUUCUCACAUUCUGCAGAAUAUCCUGGUGGUCCACUCUACAGAUGACAUCAUUCUCAUUGACCUGAAGCACACCCUGAGACAAGUAUUCAAGAGCAAGUAGUUUAUUUGGGAGGAAAUACCAGAAGAAAUUGAUGGGAUGAGGAGAAGUGAGCCCAGGAAAGGAAGAAAAUAAUAGAGUAUGCUUUCAAGCAAGUUACCACUGUGGCCAACUGGAGCAUAAUCCACUAGGGAACUUGGGGUCAAGGUGAAGAACACACUUCAGAGUUGUCUCAACCAAGGUUAAGAAGCUGG